CCUACGGGCGACAGCAGUGAGGAAUAUUGGUCAAUGGGCGGAAGCCUGAACCAGCCAAGUCGCGUGAGGGAAUAAGGCCCUACGGGUCGUAAACCUCUUUUGCCGGGGAGCAAGGGCGGGGACGUGUCCCGGCCCGGAGAGUACCCGGAGAAAAAGCAUCGGCUAACUCCGUGCCAGCAGCCGCGGUAAUACGGAGGAUGCGAGCGUUAUCCGGAUUUAUUGGGUUUAAGGGGUGCGCAGGCGGAGGUGCAAGUCAGCGGUAAAAUUGCGGGGCUCAACCCCGUACUGCCGUUGAAACUGCAUGCCUUGAGUGCGCGAGAAGUAUGCGGAAUGCGUGGUGUAGCGGUGAAAUGCAUAGAUAUCACGCAGAACUCCGAUUGCGAAGGCAGCAUACCGGCGCGCAACUGACGCUCAUGCACGAAAGCGUGGGUAUCGAACAGGAUUAGAUACCCGAGUAGUC
RNAcentral lists this ribosomal RNA (460 nucleotides) under uncultured bacterium. Its description in RNAcentral is "partial 16S ribosomal RNA". It matches the Rfam family "Bacterial small subunit ribosomal RNA", at positions 338 to 795 of the family's 1533-position model. The record is from RNAcentral.